UAUAACCAGGUAAUGUCUCAAGUUAUAACCAGGUUAUAACCAGGUAAUGUUUCAGGUUAUAACCAGGUUAUAACCAGGUAAUGUCUUAUGUUAUAACGAGGUUAUAACCAGGUAAUGUCUCAGGUUAUAACCAGGUUAUAACCAGGUAAUGUCUCAGGUUAAAACCAGGUUAUAACCAGGUAAUGUCUCAGGUUAAAACCAGGUUAUAACUAGGUUAUAACCAGGUAAUUUCUCCGGUUAUAACCAGGUUAUAACCAGGUAAUGUCUCAGGUUAAAACAUGGUUAUAACCAGGUAAUGUCUCGGGUUAUAACCAGGUAAUAACCAAGUUAUAACCAGGUUAUUACCAGGUAGUGUCUCAGGUAAAAACCAGGUUAUAACUAGGUUAUAACCAGGUAAUGUCUCUGGUUAAAACCAGGUUAUAACCAGGUAAUGUCUCAGGAUAUAACCAGGUUAUAAACAGGUAAUGUCUCAGGUUAUAACCUGGUUAUAAUCAGGUAAUGUCUCAGGAUAUAACCAGGUUAUAACCAGGUUAAGACCAGGUAAUGUCUCAGGUUAUAACCAGGUUAUGACCAGGUAAUUUCUCAGGAUCUAACCAGGUUACAACCAGGUAAUUUCUCAGGAUAUAACCAGGGUAUAACCAGGUAAUGUCUCAGGUUAUAACCAGAUUAUAACCAGGUAAAGUCUCAGGAUAUAACCAGGUUAUAACCAGGUUAUGACCAGGUAAUGUCUCAGGUUAUAACCAUGUUAUAACCAGGUAAUGUCUCAGGUUAUAACCAAGUUAUAUACAGGAAAUGUCUCAGGUUAAAACCAGGUUAUAAUUAGGAUAUAACCAGGUAAUGUCUUAGGUUAAAACCAGGUUAUAACCAGGUUAUUACCAGGUAAUGUCUGAGGUUAUAACCAGGUUAUAACCAGGUAAUGUCUCAGGUUAUAACAUGGUCAUAACCAGGUAAUGUCUCAGGUUAUAACCAGGUAAUAAGCAAGUUAUAACCAGGUUAUUACAAGGUAGUGUCUUCAGGUUAAAAGCAGGUUAUUACCAGGUAAUGUCUCAGGUUAUAACCAGGUCAUGUCUCAGGUUAAAACCAGGUUAUAACCAGGUAAUGUCUCAGGUUAUAACCAGGUUAUAACCAGGUAAUGUCUCAGGUUAAAACCAGGUUAUAACCAGGUAAUGUCUCAGGUUAAAACCAGGUUAUAACUAGGUUAUAACCAGGUAAUUUCUCCGGUUAUAACCAGGUUAUAACCAGGUAAUGUCUCAGGUUAAAACAUGGUUAUAACCAGGUAUUGUCUCGGGUUAUAACCAGGUAAUAACCAAGUUAUAACCAGGUUAUUACCAGGUAGUGUCUCAGGUAAAAACCAGGUUAUAACUAGGUUAUAACCAAGUUAUGUCUCUGGUUAAAACCAGGUUAUAACCAGGUAAUGUCUCAGGUUAUAACCAGGUUAUAAACAGGUAAUGUCUCAGGAUAUAACCAGGUUAUAAACAGGUAAUGUCUCAGGUUAUAACCAGGUUAUAACCUGG
Non-coding RNA from Xyrichtys novacula (pearly razorfish), 1514 nucleotides. The record is from the annotation of a GenBank genome assembly. Lineage: Eukaryota; Metazoa; Chordata; Actinopteri; Labriformes; Labridae.